This 205-nucleotide unclassified non-coding RNA is filed under the name uncultured bacterium. Its description in RNAcentral is "contains 16S-23S intergenic spacer region". The record is from RNAcentral.
UCUCAUGGGGGAAAGGCUAAUAUCCACACAAGCAUUUGUUAUCAACUCCCUUGGCCAACCAUAGUCUGUAGAUUCUUCUUUAAAAGUUCCAGUUUCUCCUAAUUAUUCUGGUAUUCAAAUUCUAAAAUCUACAUCUCCAAGUGAACCUAAUAUAUCACCAAAUGACAAAUCUAGUAUGACUUGCUGGACGUGGCCUCUUACUAGC